UACGGAGGGUGCAAGCGUUAUCCGGAUUCACUGGGUUUAAAGGGUGCGUAGGUGGGCAGGUAAGUCAGUGGUGAAAUCUCCGGGCUUAACCCGGAAACUGCCAUUGAUACUAUCAGUCUUGAAUACCGUGGAGGUAAGCGGAAUAUGUCAUGUAGCGGUGAAAUGCUUAGAUAUGACAUAGAACACCGAUAGCGAAGGCAGCUUGCUACACAAUUAUUGACACUGAGGCUCGAAAGCGUGGGGAUCAAACAGG
RNAcentral lists this ribosomal RNA (253 nucleotides) under uncultured bacterium. RNAcentral describes it as "partial 16S ribosomal RNA". It matches the Rfam family "Bacterial small subunit ribosomal RNA", at positions 524 to 776 of the family's 1533-position model. The record is from RNAcentral.